This 396-nucleotide ribosomal RNA is filed under the name uncultured bacterium. RNAcentral's name for it is "partial 16S ribosomal RNA". It matches the Rfam family "Bacterial small subunit ribosomal RNA", at positions 523 to 918 of the family's 1533-position model. The record is from RNAcentral.
AUACGUAGGUGGCAAGCGUUAUCCGGAUUUACUGGGUGUAAAGGGCGUGUAGGCGGGAGUGCAAGUCAGAUGUGAAAACUAUGGGCUCAACCCAUAGCCUGCAUUUGAAACUGUACUUCUUGAGUGAUGGAGAGGCAGGCGGAAUUUCCCGUGUAGCGGUGAAAUGCGGAGAUAUAGGGAGGAACCCCGGUGGCGAAGGCAGCCUGCUGGAGAUUAGCUGAGGCGGAGGCGGGAAAGGGUGGGGAGCAAACAGGAUUAGAUACCCGGGUAGUCCACGCCGUAAACGAUGGAUACUAGGUGUGGGGGGUCUGACCCCCUCCGUGCCGCAGUUAACACAAUAAGUAUUCCGCCUGGGGAGUACGGCCGCAAGGUUGAAACUCAAAGGAAUUGACGGGG